Regulatory RNA element from Pluralibacter gergoviae, 133 nucleotides. It matches the Rfam family "Molybdenum/Tungsten riboswitch aptamer (Moco RNA motif)". NCBI's taxonomy places the organism in Bacteria, Pseudomonadati, Pseudomonadota, Gammaproteobacteria, Enterobacterales, Enterobacteriaceae. The record is from Rfam.
AAACGGAAGCUACACUCUAGCCCUGGCGCCUGUGUCUGCGGAUAUGGCGCCCCGGCCGUGACGAAAGUCACCAGGGUACAGGAAGAAAUGACUGUGCCUCCCAUACUUGGAAAGGUGUACAUGGCCACACAAC